Molecule: unclassified non-coding RNA, 337 nt
Filed under: uncultured fungus
Lineage: Eukaryota; Fungi
Description: partial contains small subunit ribosomal RNA, internal transcribed spacer 1, and 5.8S ribosomal RNA
Rfam family: Eukaryotic small subunit ribosomal RNA (bases 1-73)
Source: RNAcentral
UCAAACUUGGUCAUUUAGAGGAAGUAAAAGUCGUAACAAGGUUUCCGUAGGUGAACCUGCGGAAGGAUCAUUAAAAUGCGCCCCCUCGGGGGCCCACCUAGCCCGUGGCUGCCGCCGCGGGUUACGUGUUCCACCCUCUGUUGAAACUUUAUCAGCUUUGCUUCGGCAGCGCUCCCCGCGGGCAGCCGCGGGGAGGUAAGGCUGUCGGAAGCCCAAUACAAAACCAGUUGAUGAAAUGUCAUGCUGUCUGAUUGAACCCAGUUUUUUGAGAAAUCAAAUAACACUUAAAACUUUCAGCAACGGAUCUCUUGGUUCCCGCAUCGAUGAAGAACGCAGC